Long non-coding RNA from Bactrocera latifrons, 1193 nucleotides. RefSeq lists it as uncharacterized. The transcript is spliced from 5 exons. Lineage: Eukaryota; Metazoa; Arthropoda; Insecta; Diptera; Tephritidae. The record is from RefSeq and is a predicted model, not a curated record.
AAUUGUUUUGCGCUCCAUCUCGAUCGGCUGAAAUUGUGGCAAAUCUGAAUAAUGUCAGCAUACUGCCUCGUCGCGCUCAGGCUUAUAAGAUUACUCAGGGUGAGAAAUGCUGGAUAUACCUAAAAUUGCUUGGUGUUGGURAUUACAGUUGUCGGACAGUGGAAUCGUUGGAUCAUUGGCCGGUUGCGAGUGGUGUACGUGACUCUGGUGUUAUCAGUAAUGUCUGCGCUAGCGAUAUAAGCACAGUUGYGGAUCUUGAAGAGCAAUUCUGUAAUGCUUUUUCACUUCGAUAUCGUUCGCUUUUGUGAUAUUACUGGUCGUCGGGUUUUUUAUUGUCAGUUCAUUGUUUGACUUUGGCACUUAAGAGGCAAAAUCAUUACUGUGCCGUUCGGAUGGCUAUAAAUGAGCGCAACCACAGAUAUUGUUAGAUAAAUUUCAUAAACGAUUGUUUGGAGCAUUCAAUAUAUGUACAUAUGUAUCGAAUUUUAUUCUGUUAUCUUGUCAGUUUGAAAUUCCACGAAACAAAUGUGAAAGGAGAGAUUUAUUGCCACUAUUCAAGAUCACUAUUAAAGAAGACGCGAAAUUGAAAUGUAUGCGAUGAAAUCUUUUGUGAUGUUUGUUGUGAUCAAUUUACUAUUGAAAAUGUUUUGAUCCGCUCUCAAACUGGAAUAAGUUGGCAUCCGUUAACCUCUGGUAAAUACAAUCCAACAGUUACUUGGAGGCGGGGGUUCAAAUUUCUAUAAGAGCCCUCCAUUUGUGAGAUAACGUCAAGAUGCACAUCUGACAGAGGCGUAAGAGGCACGUAUGUCGUAACGUAUUUGUUAUUUGAAUUUGAAGGUGCUGCGCAACUAAGAUUACGCACUAUCAUUGACAUUCUUACAUGCAAGCACUGACGAACAAUUUUAACGUUUUAUUUUUCUUGAAUAACAAUGAAGCGCAAUGAAAAUGAUCAUGUCAUAACGCAUAACCGAUAAAUAUUAUAUAUAGUAUAUAUGUAUGUACAUACAUGAACCCAGGUAGUCAAUUUAAGUUUACUUGUAUAUUGCGAUAUCUUUCCUAAUGAUUGACUUUUAUUGAAUAUUUAAAUAAAAUAAUAUGAUAAAACGCACAUAUUUAGCUGCAUACCUUCAAAUUAGUUUAUAAGAAAUUAUUGACUUUGUCUGUUAUUGUAAAAACCUAUAGCCACGUGAAUG